CAGCCGCCUCGGUAAUACGUAGGGUGCGAGCGUUAAUCGGAUUUACUGGGCGUAAAGCGUGCGCAGGCGGCCCGUUAAGACAGGUGUGAAAUCCCUGGGCUCAACCUAGGAAUUGCGCUUGUGACUGGCGGGCUCGAGUACGGUAGAGGGGGGUGGAAUUCCUGGUGUAGCAGUGAAAUGCGUAGAGAUCAGGAGGAACACCGAUGGCGAAGGCAGCCCCCUGGGCCUGUACUGACGCUCAUGCACGAAAGCGUGGGGAGCAAACAGGAUUAGAUACCCUGGUAGUCCACGCCCUAAACGAUGGGUACUAGCCGUUUGGUGCGCGAUAGCGCUGAGUGGCGAAGCUAACGCGUGAAGUACCCCGCCUGGGGAGUACGGCCGCAAGGUUGAAACUUAAAGGAAUUGGCGGG
RNAcentral lists this ribosomal RNA (410 nucleotides) under uncultured microorganism. Its description in RNAcentral is "bacterial SSU rRNA". It matches the Rfam family "Bacterial small subunit ribosomal RNA", at positions 509 to 917 of the family's 1533-position model. The record is from RNAcentral.